GUGAGUCAUCGAAUCUUUGAACGCAAAUUGCGCCUUUUGGUAUUCCGAAAGGCAUGCCUGUUUGAGUGUCAUAUAGACCUCACCUAAUCGGUUUUCCGACUAUGGUGCUUUGGGUGUCUGCCAUUUGUUUGGCUCACCUUAAAUGUCUAAGUGGAACAGCGUGAUAAGUUCUUCGCUACCCUUCCACUCUAAAUCCAAUUCAAUCUCUGACCUCAAAUCAGGUAGGACUACCCGCUGAACUUAAGCAUAUCAAUAAGCGGAGGA
RNAcentral lists this unclassified non-coding RNA (264 nucleotides) under fungal sp. RNAcentral describes it as "partial contains 5.8S ribosomal RNA, internal transcribed spacer 2, and large subunit ribosomal RNA". The stretch from base 1 to 71 matches the Rfam family "5.8S ribosomal RNA", at positions 84 to 154 of the family's 154-position model. Lineage: Eukaryota; Fungi. The record is from RNAcentral.